CCGCACGGGUGGGUAACACGUAUCCAACCUGCCGUCUACUCUUGGACAGCCUUCUGAAAGGAAGAUUAAUACAAGAUGGCAUCAUGAGUCCGCAUGUUCACAUGAUUAAAGGUAUUCCGGUAGACGAUGGGGAUGCGUUCCAUUAGAUAGUAGGCGGGGUAACGGCCCACCUAGUCUUCGAUGGAUAGGGGUUCUGAGAGGAAGGUCCCCCACAUUGGAACUGAGACACGGUCCAA
Molecule: ribosomal RNA, 236 nt
Filed under: uncultured bacterium
Lineage: Bacteria
Description: partial 16S ribosomal RNA
Rfam family: Bacterial small subunit ribosomal RNA
Source: RNAcentral